RNA transcript from Gymnogyps californianus (California condor), 1559 nucleotides. It is a transcript of the gene named tRNA (uracil-5-)-methyltransferase homolog B-like, with no coding region annotated. NCBI's taxonomy places the organism in Eukaryota, Metazoa, Chordata, Aves, Accipitriformes, Cathartidae. The transcript has 5 exons. The record is from RefSeq and is a predicted model, not a curated record.
CCGAGGCUCCGCACCGCGAGCACGAGGCUAGCGUGUGCUGGGCACAGCUCGCUGCCCCGGGGCGGCGAGGGCAGCGGCUCGGGCACCACAACCGCCCCACUGCCGCGGACGGACCCGGAAAGCGCAGGGUGCCGGGCUGGAGCCUGCAGCGGUGCUGGGGCGCUGUGCCGGGAGAUGCGUAGCUGAUGUGCCGCUUUCUGGGAGGCUGACGGUGGGCUCGCUGUGCAGCUGGCCGGGGUGCAGCCCCUCUCCUUCCCGCCAUGGCUCUGUCCUGCGCAUGGAGGCUACCGCGCUGGCACCUUCGCCCUUCGAGUGCUCUCCUGAGCAGCCUGCCCAGUCAAGGCCGCAGCCUGCUGACGGAGAAGAAGACAGCAGCAAAGUGGAAGGAGAAGAAAAAGGCCAGGGAGGGCUGCAGCCUACCAGGUUCCUCCUGGGAGGAGAGGUUAGCGAACGCGGCGACGCCACUGUGGAGACUUCCCUAUCAAGAGCAGCUGCAGGACUCCUCUGCAGGUGAAGUAUGAAAGCCAGAGGAAGAUUUUGCAGACACUGGCAUCUCGUCUUGAGGAGCUGGGCACAGAUGCGCAGAAACCUGGUGGACUCUGCUGUCCUCUCCAGCCUGUGGUCCCUUCGCCCGUCAUUAAUGGCUACCGAAACAAAUCGACUUUCUCUGUGAACCGAGGACCGGACGGGAACCCCAAAACCGUGGGGUUGUAUGUGGGAACUGGCAGAGGUCAGCGCAGGACAAGGAGCUGGGUAGAAAACUGCUGGUGUGGGCUGGGUUGGGGCAAGGCUCUGCUGUGAGAGCCUCCACCUGAGUUAGAAGCCUGAAUCCUGGGCGAUGCCAACAGAAACGCCACCAAGUCCUGGGCAGCAAUUUUGAAAACUCAGUUCACUAGCUUCUUAAGAAACACCAGCUUCUGAUUUGCUAAAUACAGCAGUAAGGAUGACAGCUGUGGUAGCAGCCCCUCCGGGAUUUAGCUUUGUUAUUCUUAACUAUGCUGUUCCCAUGUUUUUGGCGUGCUCCAGGAGCCUGUGCUGAGCAGGGAGAGCACGGUGGGGUGUGCACGUCCAUAGGCAGCAGAGCAACGUUGGAGCAUUUGGGAUGCGUGAGGCAGUUUGGUUUUGUGCAACGAAGAUGUGAGCUGUGUGCUCCUCGCAGGCUGCUCAGUGGUGAACUCGUUCACACCAUCGAUACUAGGUUUUGCUUGUCAACAUCCAUAGCAAGAGGCACUGGGGUGGUUGCUGUGUACUUUUCUCAUUGAAAAAAUAAUUCCGUGGAUGCAUUUUACUAUUGUCUUCCAGGCAACUUAAACUGCCUUGCUGCUGUAAGCCCACACCGUUAUUCUCCAGUUAGAAAACCAGCUUGCUCUGCUCUGGCUCCCUUAGUUUAAGAACAGUGCAAUGGCUCCUUCGGGAGUUGCUAGAGGACAUUUAAAAAGCUCCCGGAGCUCCACCCUCUUCAUGGAAGUUAGUGACUAAUCACCGACAAAGGGAAUUUUGGCAGGUCCUGCAGACUGCGGGUGCCCAGAACAUCACAGGAUUUUAGUGGAGCACUUAGA